GUGAUUUUCCGUGGUCACAGAAGAAACGGAAUGUCUGUGCCUCUCACCUUCACACACUCUCACUACCUAUUGAUUUUCGCCUGGCAGCCUAGUGUCCGUUUGUCGGUCUUUUCUCUCGUCACUUUUUGUGUCUCGGUAUCAAUGUUUGU
Non-coding RNA from Caenorhabditis elegans, 149 nucleotides. The record is from Ensembl. Lineage: Eukaryota; Metazoa; Nematoda; Chromadorea; Rhabditida; Rhabditidae.